GGGAAGGUGGCUCAGUGGUAGAGUGCUUGCCUUGCGUGCAUGAGGCCCUGAGUUUGAUUCCUCAGCAGCACCA
Molecule: non-coding RNA, 73 nt
Organism: Dipodomys ordii (Ord's kangaroo rat)
Lineage: Eukaryota; Metazoa; Chordata; Mammalia; Rodentia; Heteromyidae
Source: Rfam